Molecule: long non-coding RNA, 915 nt
Organism: Ornithorhynchus anatinus (platypus)
Lineage: Eukaryota; Metazoa; Chordata; Mammalia; Monotremata; Ornithorhynchidae
Exons: 3
Source: RefSeq, a predicted model, not a curated record
UAGUAAGGACUGAGGGAAGAAACUAUAUAAGUUUCAUCGGCAAGAAACAAUGAGAUUAUUUGGGAUGUUUUCAUCAGUUGCUAGAGUUGACUUGCUGAGCCAGCAACUAGAAUCUGCUAGCAUCUAUUCAAUUUCUUUUCUUCCAAGUAAGUGUUCCUGCUUUCCCUAUGAAACCUAAUUUUUCAUGUUUGGAUGCUUUUUAUUUCUACAAUACUCAUCUCUGACUGAGAAUUCAUUCUUUCAACUGCAAAUGAGAGUAGAACUAAGGUUGGUUGCUCAUCCUAAACCUGAAGAUAUUAAAUAAAAGUGCUAGGAGACAAAAGGGCAUAUUACAAACCAUCCACCUCUUCAAUAAACCCAGGACACUGAAUCACACAGAAUCCAGAAGAAAAGGAACCAAUCAUCACCACUUCCAGGGACCUUUGAACAUCGAUGGAGAAAACAACUUCCAUGGAGAAAAGAGGGGCUAAAAUAUCUAAAUUUCAUGUUUCACCUACAAUGUUAGAAGUAUCAUCCAGAGCUGACAAAGCAGUGGUGAUGCUUUUUUGAAGAUCCUGAUUACACCCUCCAGAAUCAUCUUCAUCCGAAGAAAACGAAGGUUCUUCUUCCCCGUCUAUUAACGAUCUGAAGACUGCAUUAACAAGACUGCAGACUUCAAGCUCCCCGCUAGAGCAAAAGCUACUAAUGGCCAAGUAAAGUUUCUACCAACUCUGUUGUAUUAUACAGCACAACAAAAAUCUCCAUUCAUCUAGCAACUCCUGGCAGGCACAGUUAUAUUUUGUUCUUAAAAUAGCACUGUUAUAUUUAAAAUGAGGAAAACUGCAAAGUUAUAGGGUCAUGUUAAUUUGAAGAAUGAAUAACAGGAACAAGAAUUAUUAGAACCGAAACUGAAUAAAAUGAUCUUAGAAGAGACAA